This 253-nucleotide ribosomal RNA is filed under the name uncultured bacterium. RNAcentral describes it as "partial 16S ribosomal RNA". It matches the Rfam family "Bacterial small subunit ribosomal RNA", at positions 524 to 776 of the family's 1533-position model. The record is from RNAcentral.
UACGGGGGGGGCAAGCGUUGUUCGGAAUUACUGGGCGUAAAGGGCUCGUAGGUGGCCAACUAAGUCGGACGUGAAAUCCCUCGGCUUAACCGGGGAACUGCGUCUGAGACUGGCGGGCUUGAGUACAGGAGAGGAACGCGGAAUUCCAGGUGUAGCGGUGAAAUGCGUAGAUAUCUGGAGGAACACCGGUGGCGAAGGCGGCGUUCUGGACUGUUACUGACACUGAGGAACGAAAGCCAGGGGAGCAAACGGG